This 253-nucleotide ribosomal RNA is filed under the name uncultured bacterium. RNAcentral describes it as "partial 16S ribosomal RNA". It matches the Rfam family "Bacterial small subunit ribosomal RNA", at positions 524 to 776 of the family's 1533-position model. The record is from RNAcentral.
UACGUAGGUGGCAAGCGUUGUCCGGAAUUAUUGGGCGUAAAGAGCUCGUAGGCGGUUUGUCGCGUCUGCCGUGAAAGUCCGGGGCUCAACUCCGGAUCUGCGGUGGGUACGGGCAGACUAGAGUGAUGUAGGGGAGAUUGGAAUUCCUGGUGUAGCGGUGAAAUGCGCAGAUAUCAGGAGGAACACCGAUGGCGAAGGCAGGUCUCUGGGCAUUAACUGACGCUGAGGAGCGAAAGCAUGGGGAGCGAACAGG